UACAGAGGUCCCAAGCGUUGUUCGGAUUCACUGGGCGUACAGGGAGCGUAGGCGGUUGGAUAAGCCCUCCGUGAAAUCUCCAGGCUUAACCUGGAAAGUGCAGAGGGGACUGUUCAGCUAGAGGAUGGGAGAGGAGCGCGGAAUUCCCGGUGUAGCGGUGAAAUGCGUAGAGAUCGGGAGGAAGGCCGGUGGCGAAGGCGGCGCUCUGGAACAUUUCUGACGCUGAGGCUCGAAAGCGUGGGGAGCAAACAGG
Molecule: ribosomal RNA, 253 nt
Filed under: uncultured bacterium
Lineage: Bacteria
Description: partial 16S ribosomal RNA
Rfam family: Bacterial small subunit ribosomal RNA
Source: RNAcentral